This 484-nucleotide ribosomal RNA is filed under the name uncultured bacterium. RNAcentral describes it as "partial 16S ribosomal RNA". It matches the Rfam family "Bacterial small subunit ribosomal RNA", at positions 30 to 507 of the family's 1533-position model. The record is from RNAcentral.
AUUGAACGCUGGCGGCAGGCCUAACACAUGCAAGUCGAGCGGAUGAAGGGAGCUUGCUCCUGGAUUCAGCGGCGGACGGGUGAGUAAUGCCUAGGAAUCUGCCUGGUAGUGGGGGAUAACGUCCGGAAACGGGCGCUAAUACCGCAUACGUCCUGAGGGAGAAAGUGGGGGAUCUUCGGACCUCACGCUAUCAGAUGAGCCUAGGUCGGAUUAGCUAGUUGGUGGGGUAAAGGCCUACCAAGGCGACGAUCCGUAACUGGUCUGAGAGGAUGAUCAGUCACACUGGAACUGAGACACGGUCCAGACUCCUACGGGAGGCAGCAGUGGGGAAUAUUGGACAAUGGGCGAAAGCCUGAUCCAGCCAUGCCGCGUGUGUGAAGAAGGUCUUCGGAUUGUAAAGCACUUUAAGUUGGGAGGAAGGGCAGUAAGUUAAGACGUUGCCGUUUUGACGUUACCAACAGAAUAAGCACCGGCUAACUUCGUG